UAUUCUACCGUUCAAUUAUCUGUAAACGUGACUUGUUAUUUCCAGUUACUGCCCUCCAUGCCCGAACGUGAAUGUUGAUCUACGUCUACAUGAUUGAAAUUUCAAUGAGAAUCACGUACACUGUUCUUGGCUACUCGUUUCCGUGUAAAUCGAGCCACCGUUCUUUUUAUGUUUCUUGAACGUUCUUCGAAAAAAUUAUCUGUAAUUACUCAGAAAAAAUAGACGUGGAGCACGUAUUUCUUGAUGACACAUCGAUUGCUACUGUCAUCGAAUAUAUUUGAAUAAUGAAAAACUUUUUCUUGUAAAAUGCUUGUAUCACAUUUUUCGAAGAAUAUUCAAUCAAUUAGAAUAUUUCUACUACCUCUUUAA
Osmia bicornis bicornis is the source of this 369-nucleotide long non-coding RNA. RefSeq lists it as uncharacterized. NCBI's taxonomy places the organism in Eukaryota, Metazoa, Arthropoda, Insecta, Hymenoptera, Megachilidae. The record is from RefSeq and is a predicted model, not a curated record. The transcript has 2 exons.